UGGGGAAUUUUGCACAAUGGGGGAAACCCUGAUGCAGCGACGCCGCGUGAUUUAGGAGGCCUUCGGGUUGUAAAAAUCUUUUUUACGGGAUGAAAAUGACAGUACCGUAAGAAUAAGGUCCGGCUAAAUACGUGCCAGCAGCCGCGGUAAUACGUAUGGACCGAGCGUUGUCCGGAAUCAUUGGGCGUAAAGGGUACGUAGGCGGCCUAGUAAGUUAGAAGUGAAAUAAUAUAGCUCAACUAUAUAAAGCUUUUAAAACUGCUAGGCUUGAGAGAUGGAAGGGAAAGUGGAAUUCCUAGUGUAGCGGUGAAAUGCGCAGAUAUUAGGAAGAAUACCGGUGGCGAAGGCGACUUUCUGGUCAUCAUCUGACGCUGAGGUACGAAAGCGUGGGUAGCAAACAGG
RNAcentral lists this ribosomal RNA (402 nucleotides) under bacterium. RNAcentral describes it as "partial 16S ribosomal RNA". It matches the Rfam family "Bacterial small subunit ribosomal RNA", at positions 355 to 776 of the family's 1533-position model. The record is from RNAcentral.